UGGGGAAUAUUGCACAAUGGGGGAAACCCUGAUGCAGCGACGCCGCGUGAGCGAAGAAGUAUUUCGGUAUGUAAAGCUCUAUCAGCAGGGAAGAAAAUGACGGUACCUGACUAAGAAGCACCGGCUAAAUACGUGCCAGCAGCCGCGGUAAUACGUAUGGUGCAAGCGUUAUCCGGAUUUACUGGGUGUAAAGGGAGCGUAGACGGCUGUGUAAGUCUGAAGUGAAAGCCCGGGGCUCAACUCCGGGACUGCUUUGGAAACUAUGCAGCUAGAGUGUCGGAGAGGUAAGUGGAAUUCCCAGUGUAGCGGUGAAAUGCGUAGAUAUUGGGAGGAACACCAGUGGCGAAGGCGGCUUACUGGACGAUGACUGACGUUGAGGCUCGAAAGCGUGGGGAGCAAACAGG
This 404-nucleotide ribosomal RNA is filed under the name uncultured bacterium. RNAcentral's name for it is "bacterial SSU rRNA". It matches the Rfam family "Bacterial small subunit ribosomal RNA", at positions 355 to 776 of the family's 1533-position model. The record is from RNAcentral.